AGCAGACGAACGGUUGACAAUCAGGUGAUUUAGAGGUGGACUAAUAGAACAGACUUCAACAAGAUACAAACACGUCAGUUUCCUAACCCAGUGAGCGUGUCGUUUAUUUUCUACAUAUGGAGUUGAUUUUUGCGUGGGCGGUGUUGAUGCAAUAUUGGUUCAUCACGUCAGCUGCAGAGACAGGUGCCUACUUCGCUUGCUACAAUCCAUAUGACAACGGAAUGUCGUAUAUUGGUCCAAAAGCAGAGUCAAGAAACGGCAAAAAGUGUUUAAACCAGGCAAACGGUGAAAUCUCUUAUUGUAGAAAUGUCGACAACUCGUCAUCAAGUCC
Molecule: long non-coding RNA, 331 nt
Organism: Corticium candelabrum
Lineage: Eukaryota; Metazoa; Porifera; Homoscleromorpha; Homosclerophorida; Plakinidae
Exons: 4
Source: RefSeq, a predicted model, not a curated record